This 82-nucleotide transfer RNA is filed under the name Marinifilum flexuosum. Its description in RNAcentral is "tRNA-Leu". It matches the Rfam family "tRNA". From Rfam's summary of the family: Transfer RNA (tRNA) molecules are approximately 80 nucleotides in length. Their secondary structure includes four short double-helical elements and three loops (D, anti-codon, and T loops). Lineage: Bacteria; Pseudomonadati; Bacteroidota; Bacteroidia; Marinilabiliales; Marinifilaceae. The record is from RNAcentral. RNAcentral also lists the same sequence under 20 other names.
GCCCAGGUGGCGGAAUUGGUAGACGCGCUGGUCUCAAACACCAGUGGGGCAACCCGUGCCGGUUCGAUCCCGGCCCUGGGUA